UACAGAGGGUGCAAGCGUUAAUCGGAAUUACUGGGCGUAAAGCGCGCGUAGGCGGUCGGGUCAGUCGGUUGUGAAAUCCCCGGGCUUAACCUGGGAAUUGCAGUCGAUACUGCCCGGCUAGAGUGUGGAAGAGGGAAGCGGAAUUUCCGGUGUAGCGGUGAAAUGCGUAGAUAUCGGAAGGAACACCAGUGGCGAAGGCGGCUUCCUGGUCCAACACUGACGCUGAGGCGCGAAAGCGUGGGUAGCGAACAGG
This 253-nucleotide ribosomal RNA is filed under the name uncultured bacterium. RNAcentral's name for it is "partial 16S ribosomal RNA". It matches the Rfam family "Bacterial small subunit ribosomal RNA", at positions 524 to 776 of the family's 1533-position model. The record is from RNAcentral.